UUCACAUGCAUGCAACAUGUCGUUUUAUUUAUACCAAACAUGUCAGUCCAUAAAUUUUUCAUUUGCUCAUUUUUUAUAAAUCGAUUUAUGCCUUCAAUCUACAUGGGUAUGUUCAGAUCGGUGUAUUGGCAACGUGAUUACUGCGGAACUAACUAGCUCUCCACAUUGUUACUCCUGUAAUGCACCGAUGAAAGAGUACACAAAAAAUCGGCAUAUGUGUGAAAAGUCUUUACUUAAGGUAUACCCAGCCAGAGCGCUACAGACACCUAAAAUUAUUGGAAAGGUUUACCGAAGCGUCACAGUAGAGUUAACAUAUGAUUUAUGUGAAAAGCAGUUAGACCUUGGGAGAGAAUAUAGAAUCAUUGGAGUGUACGACUAUUUUAGCCAUCAAUUUAAAGCUUGGGGAUUGGAGGGCAUCUAACCCAAGAAUGGAUAAAUAUCA
Hermetia illucens (black soldier fly) is the source of this 442-nucleotide long non-coding RNA. RefSeq lists it as uncharacterized. NCBI's taxonomy places the organism in Eukaryota, Metazoa, Arthropoda, Insecta, Diptera, Stratiomyidae. The record is from RefSeq and is a predicted model, not a curated record. The transcript has 4 exons.